UCGGGAAUUUUGGGCAAUGGGCGAAAGCCUGACCCAGCAACGCCGCGUGAAGGAUGAAGUAUUUCGGUAUGUAAACUUCGUAAGAAUAGGAAGAAUAAAUGACGGUACUAUUUGUAAGGUCCGGCUAACUACGUGCCAGCAGCCGCGGUAAUACGUAGGGACCAAGCGUUGUUCGGAUUUACUGGGCGUAAAGGGCGCGUAGGCGGUGUGUCAAGUCAGUUGUGAAAUCUCCGAGCUUAACUCGGAACGGUCAACUGAUACUGUCACACUAGAGUACAGAAGGGGCAAUCGGGAUUCUUGGUGUAGCGGUGAAAUGCGUAGAUAUCAAGAGGAACACCUGAGGCGAAGGCGGGUUGCUGGGCUGAUACUGACGCUGAGGCGCGAAAGCUAGGGUAGCAAACGGGAUUAGAUACCCCAGUAGUCCCUGAGCGGGCUGGCAAGGCGCAU
RNAcentral lists this ribosomal RNA (447 nucleotides) under uncultured bacterium. Its description in RNAcentral is "bacterial SSU rRNA". It matches the Rfam family "Bacterial small subunit ribosomal RNA", at positions 355 to 825 of the family's 1533-position model. The record is from RNAcentral.